CAAGUUAAAGCUAAAAAGCAUUUUAUUUACGUUAAAAAGAAGUUGUUAAAUCAAAUUAAUUUGA
RNAcentral lists this transfer RNA (64 nucleotides) under Hydroptila angulata. RNAcentral describes it as "tRNA-Val". Lineage: Eukaryota; Metazoa; Arthropoda; Insecta; Trichoptera; Hydroptilidae. The record is from RNAcentral.